GCCCCGAGGCAGAGGCAGGGCAGCUUUCCCAGCCCCUCUGCUCGCAAAGGUGACCCAGGGACAGCACAGCCCUCAUCACACGCUGCUGAAGGUGUGUUUGGCAACAGAGGUGUGUGCAGCUUUCACAUAACCCGGCAAAGGGCAACACAGGUUCCGACGGACGCCCAGGCAGGAGCGUGCAGAGGCAGGGCUGCGUCAGAUGGGAAACGAAUGCCAUCCGGGUGCGGAGACACGAUGGCACGUAAACUAUGCUGAAGACAGAAAUCAACUGGCACGUUCACUCUGGAGGAAUCCCCCGGGGUACCAGCAGAAGGCAUUAUCGGCGCGUUUCUCCGGUGAGCUGUGAUGGGAAGAGCAGGGAGCGAAAAAGAAGCUGCUCACAAAAGUACAUUUAACAGCCUUAGUUGGAAGACGGGAAGGAUGCCGUCCCCUGUCUGAUUUCAGCGGCUGAGGUAAGUCACCCUCACUCGGACGGCGGCGGUCGGAAGGAAGAAAGAAGGAUCCUUUCCAUGGAUGUGAGCCAGCAUUGUCCUCUCACGCCUUAUUCAUGCCGUACGCAAGGUACUAACAGAAAAAUCAGCUGGGUAGGGGGAGCAAAGC
Chroicocephalus ridibundus (black-headed gull) is the source of this 600-nucleotide long non-coding RNA. RefSeq lists it as uncharacterized. NCBI's taxonomy places the organism in Eukaryota, Metazoa, Chordata, Aves, Charadriiformes, Laridae. The record is from RefSeq and is a predicted model, not a curated record. The transcript is spliced from 5 exons.